CCAGUCCAGGAGUCAGGAGUGGUAGGAGCAGUGAGAGUGAGUGUCCAUGGGCGUGUGGGAGAGGAGAAGAGGAUUUAUAUUUUGUUUUGGUAUUUACACAUUUUCAUUCAUCUUUUUAUUUAAUGCUUCCCAUAGCCUUGUAUAUUUUUAGACUGAUAUUUAGGGGUAGGGGUUGGAGUAGCUUAGGUGGGCUUUACAGAGGUAGAAAACAUAGGUUUUCGUUGUGUGUUUUAAAUUACCUUUCUACAGAGAAACUUCAUAAUGUUAAAAAUGUAGGUAGGAUUUCUUCUGCUGCUAACUCAAAACUUGGCAUGAGGGGACUGGGGUCACCCAUAUUGCCUCGUCUCUCUUGAAGGUCACCAGUUGCUCCCCUGUGAUGCUGAGUCCAGACUUCAUUUCAUGCAGAGCUUUCUAAACUGUGUGUUGCGACACCUGCAGUGUGUAUAGGUGUGUCGUGCAAAUGCCUGCUUGCUCCUCCUGGGGCUGGAAAUGGGUUAGUUUAACCUCCAGUUUGCUAGUGAAUCUGAAUUACUGUGCCACCAAAUGAUGUAUAUCUUAAAAGUGUGUCACCAACAUGAAAAGUUUGGAAAGCUCUGACUUAAUGAUUCACACGAGGCCUAUCUUCACUCCCUACUGAGCUACAGAGACCAGUAGAAUUACAAUGGUACUGUGGAUUUCAAACGCCUUGGUACUCAAACAACGUGGAACCCAAACACUGCAAACCUGGAAGCAAGUGUUCCAGUUUGCGAACAUUUUUUGGAAGCCAAACAUACUCCGUUUUGAGUGUUACACUUCUGAUUUGAGUGCCACACUUCCAUUUUGAGUGUUUGGCUGAGGUCUGUCUGCUUUUGCUAUUUUGCGUUUUGGCUUUUGUGGCUCUGUGUGUGUGUGUGUGUGUGUGUGUGUGUGUGUGAGACUGUGUGGAACCCAGCUCAGCUGCUGGUUGAUUGAUUGUGUGACUGCAGUACAUUAUUUAUUGCUUUCGUUUUAUGGAUCAAUGGUCUCAUUAGAUAGUAAAAUUCAUGUUAAAUUGUUGUUUUAGGGGUUAUUUUUAAAAGUCUGGAACAGAAUACAGUCAUACCUCAUGUUACGUUUCAGGUUGAGCAUUUUCAGGUUGCGCCCCGUGGCAACCCGGAAGUACCGGAAAGGGUUACUUCCAUGUUUCGCCUCUCGUGCAUGCGCAGAUGCAUAAAAUGACGUCACGCGCAUGCGCAGAAGCAGCGAAUCGCAACCUUGGUUUUGGAACGCUUUUGUUUUGGAACGGACUUCCGGAACUGGCAGCCUGCCGGCUUAGGUAAUCAGCACUCAGUAGUUGUAUUUACAAGAAGAUUUAUAAUACACAGUAAUUAACCUCAGAGUUAAUAUUAGCGGCUGUAUUAUCACAAUGAAGUUGAGGCAUCUGAGCUCAAAUUACGCCACCAACAGGAAACACAUAAUCCCCACCCCCUUCUUCUUCGAUUGACA
This is a non-coding RNA of Podarcis lilfordi (Lilford's wall lizard), 1464 nucleotides long. The record is from the annotation of a GenBank genome assembly. Lineage: Eukaryota; Metazoa; Chordata; Lepidosauria; Squamata; Lacertidae.